RNAcentral lists this ribosomal RNA (253 nucleotides) under uncultured bacterium. Its description in RNAcentral is "partial 16S ribosomal RNA". It matches the Rfam family "Bacterial small subunit ribosomal RNA", at positions 524 to 776 of the family's 1533-position model. The record is from RNAcentral.
UACGUAGGGGGCAAGCGUUAUCCGGAUUUACUGGGUGUAAAGGGAGCGUAGACGGUUAUGCAAGUCAGAAGUGAAAGCCCAAAGCUCAACUUCGGGACUGCUUUUGAAACUGUGUAACUAGAGUGCAGGAGGGGUAAGCGGAAAUCCUAGUGUAGCGGUGAAAUGCGUAGAUAUUAGGAGGAACACCGGCGGCGAAGGCGGCUUACUGGACUGUAACUGACGUUGAGGCUCGAAAGCGUGGGGAGCAAACAGG